UGCAUGUCUAGUACAAACUAUAUUAAAGUGAAACCGCGAAAGGCUCAUUAAAUCAGUUAUGGUUCCUUAGAUCGUACCACAAUUACUUGGAUAACUGUGGUAAUUCUAGAGCUAAUACAUGCAAACAGAGCUCUGACCGGGGACGGAAGGAGUGCUUUUAUUAGAUCAAAACCAAUCGGUGGCGGUAACGUUUCGGCGUUAUCGUUCAUCGCUCAAUAUAUGGUGAAUCUGAAUAACUUUAUGCUGAUCGCAUGGUCUUGUACCGGCGACGCAUCUUUCAAAUGUCUGCCUUAUCAACUGUCGAUGGUAGGAUCUGCGCCUACCAUGGUUGUAACGGGUAACGGGGAAUCAGGGUUCGAUUCCGGAGAGGGAGCCUGAGAAACGGCUACCACAUCCAAGGAAGGCAGCAGGCGCGCAAAUUACCCACUCCCGGCACGGGGAGGUAGUGACGAAAAAUAACGAUACGGGACUCAUCCGAGGCCCCGUAAUCGGAAUGAGUACACUUUAAAUCCUUUAACAAGGACCAAUUGGAGGGCAAGUCUGGUGCCAGCAGCCGCGGUAAUUCCAGCUCCAAUAGCGUAUAUUAAAGUUGUUGCGGUUAAAAAGCUCGUAGUUGAAUUUGUGUCCCGCACUGUCGGUUCACCGCCCGCGGUGCUAACUGGCAUGUUUGCGGGACGUCCUGCCGGUGGAUGUUCAGUUGUUAUUUGAUCCUUUGGGUUAUUUACAACUUCAUCCGACUUUGAAAUCCUGUCGCGGUGCUCUUAAUUGAGUGUCGAGGCGGGCCGGCACGUUUACUUUGAACAAAUUAAAGUGCUCAAAGCAGGCUAAUUAAUGCCUGAAUAAUUAGUGCAUGGAAUAAUGAAACAGGACCUUGGUUCUAUUUUGUUGGUUUUCGGAACCCCAAGGU
Molecule: ribosomal RNA, 907 nt
Filed under: Poecilus cupreus
Lineage: Eukaryota; Metazoa; Arthropoda; Insecta; Coleoptera; Carabidae
Description: SSU rRNA
Rfam family: Eukaryotic small subunit ribosomal RNA
Source: RNAcentral